Molecule: ribosomal RNA, 838 nt
Filed under: bacterium B0868
Lineage: Bacteria
Description: bacterial SSU rRNA
Rfam family: Bacterial small subunit ribosomal RNA
Source: RNAcentral
CGAGGCUCAACCUCGGACUUGCAGUGGGUACGGGCAGACUAGAGUGUGGUAGGGGAGACUGGAAUUCCUGGUGUAGCGGUGGAAUGCGCAGAUAUCAGGAGGAACACCGAUGGCGAAGGCAGGUCUCUGGGCCAUUACUGACACUGAGAAGCGAAAGCAUGGGGAGCGAACAGGAUUAGAUACCCUGGUAGUCCAUGCCGUAAACGUUGGGAACUAGGUGUGGGUCUCAUUCCACGAGAUCCGUGCCGCAGCUAACGCAUUAAGUUCCCCGCCUGGGGAGUACGGCCGCAAGGCUAAAACUCAAAGGAAUUGACGGGGGCCCGCACAAGCGGCGGAGCAUGCGGAUUAAUUCGAUGCAACGCGAAGAACCUUACCAAGGCUUGACAUACACCGGAAUCACUCAGAGAUGGGUGCGUCUUCGGACUGGUGUACAGGUGGUGCAUGGUUGUCGUCAGCUCGUGUCGUGAGAUGUUGGGUUAAGUCCCGCAACGAGCGCAACCCUCGUUCUAUGUUGCCAGCACGUCAUGGUGGGGACUCAUAGGAGACUGCCGGGGUCAACUCGGAGGAAGGUGGGGAUGACGUCAAAUCAUCAUGCCCCUUAUGUCUUGGGCUUCACGCAUGCUACAAUGGCCGGUACAAAGGGCUGCGAAACCGCGAGGUGGAGCGAAUCCCAAAAAACCGGUCUCAGUUCGGAUUGGGGUCUGCAACUCGACCCCAUGAAGUCGGAGUCGCUAGUAAUCGCAGAUCAGCAACGCUGCGGUGAAUACGUUCCCGGGCCUUGUACACACCGCCCGUCAAGUCACGAAAGUCGGUAACACCCGAAGCCGGUGGCCCAACC